Molecule: long non-coding RNA, 5336 nt
Organism: Pan troglodytes (chimpanzee)
Lineage: Eukaryota; Metazoa; Chordata; Mammalia; Primates; Hominidae
Exons: 2
Source: RefSeq, a predicted model, not a curated record
UACACACCUUAGAACCUUUGAAACCAAACCUUCUUCGGGUCCGCGAAUGCUUUCGGAGCGCCCGUUCUGUGUCUGCCAAUUUCACCUGGACGAUGUUGGUGAAUCCUCGCCACACUGCCCUCGAUGGUCCCAUUCAGAAGUGGAAACUGAGGCUGGAGAAAGUUAAGCCAGACAAAUGCAAGUCUUCCGAUCCUUGUGCAGGGCUCUUUGGAUCAAAGCACUGCGUUCCCGUGAGAAACUGACCAGAGCUUCCCAGGAUUCUCCUCCUUCCCCUUUAACCUCCAGCCCCCACCUGCCCCGCUGUCUCUUCCAGGGACUCACACCUGUGCACACCACAGGGGCUCAUACCUGUGCUCACAGUGUGUCCGGAAUUGGUGGGUCCUUGGUCUCACUGACUUCAAGAAUGAAACCACAGACCCUCGCGGUGAACGUUACAGCUCUUAAGGUGGCGUGUCUGGAGUUUGUUCUUUCUGAUGUUCGGAUGUGUUUAGAGUUUCUUCCUUCUGGUGGGUUCGUGGUCUUACUGGCUCAGGAGUGAAGCUACAGACCUUCACGGUGAGUGUUACAGCUCUUAAAGCAGCGCUACAGCUCUUAAAGCAGCGUCUGGAGUGGUUCGUUUCUCCCAGUGGGCUCAUGGUCUCAUUGGCUUCAUGAGUGAAGCUGCAGACUUUCGCGGUAAGUGUUACAGCUCAUAAAAGCAGUGUGGACCCAAAGAGCAAAACAACAAAGCUUCCACACUCUGGUAGAGGACCCGAGCAAAUUGCUACUGCUGGCUCAGGGCAGCCUGCUUUUAUUCUCUUAUCUGGCCCCACCCACAUCCUGCUGAUUGGUAGAGCCUAGUGGCCUGUUUUGACAGGGUGCUGAUUGGUGCGUUUACAAUCCCUGAGCUAGAUAUAAAGGUUCUCCACGUCCCCAUCAGAUUAGUUAGAUACACAGUAUUGACACAAAGGUUCUCCAAGGCCCCACCAGAGCAGCUAGAUACAGAGUGUCGAUUGGUGCAUUCACAAACCUUGAGCUAAACACAGGGUGCUGAUUGGUGUAUUUACAAUCCCUGAGCUAGGCAUAAAGGUUCUCCAAGGCCCCACCAGAGCAGCUAGAUACAGAGUGUGGAUUGGUGCACUCACAAACCUGGAGCUAAACACAGGGUGCUGAUUGGUGUAUUUACAAUCCCUGAGCUAGACAUAAAGGUUCUCCAAGGCCCCACCAGAGCAGCUAGAUACAGAGUGUGGAUUGGUGCACUCACAAACCUUGAGCUAAACACAGGGUGCUGAUUGGUGUAUUUACAAUCCCUGAGCUAGACAUAAAGGUCCUCCUAAGGCCCCACCAGACUCAGGAGCCCAGCUGGCUUCACCCAGUGAAUCCCACACCGGGGCUGCAGGUGGAGCUGCCUGCCAGUCCCGCGCCGUGCGCUCGCACUCCUCAGCCCUUGGGUGGUCGAUGGGACUGGGCGCCCUGGAGCAGGGGGUGGUGCUCGUCGGGGAGGCUCGGGCCGCACAGGAGCCCAUGGAGUGGGUGGGAGGCUCAGGCAUAGCGGGCUGCAGGUCCCGAGCCCUGCCCCGCGGGAAGGCAGCUAAGGCUCGCUGAGAAAUCGAGCGCAGCGCCGGUGGGCUGGCACUGCUGGGGGACCCAGUACACCCUCCGCAGCUGCUGGCCCGGGUGCUAAGUCUCUCAUUGCCCGGGGCCAGCAGGGCUGGCCGACUGCUCCGAGUGCAGGGCCCGCCAAGCCCACGCCCACCCAGAACUCCAGCUGGCCCGCAAGCGCUGCACGCAGCCCCGGUUCCUGCUCGCGCCUCUCCCUCCACACCUCCCUGCAAGCUGAGGGAGUGGGCUCCAGCCUUGGCCAGCCCAGAAAGGGGCUCCCCCAGUGCAGUGGUGGGCUGAAGGGCUCCUCAAGUGCCGCCAAAGUGGGAGCCCAGGCAGAGGAGGUGCCGAGAGCAAGCGAGGGCUCUGAGGACUGCCAGCACAAUGUCAUCUCUCAACAGCAGGGACUCAAACCUGUGCAGGCACACCGAGCUGGAGAGAGGACAUCUCCCAGAGGCGGCUGACCAAUGAGCCAGAGUUCUGCCUUGAGAUACAAUCAAUCCCCCAAUUCUGAAAUCCCUUCCUCACCUCCAGCCCCACCCAGGAAGACCAGAGCUCAUGAAAAAAACCGUGAGGAGGAGGCAUCUGUGCGGCUUUGGAGACCAGCCUCAGGCUACAGGUUACAAGAGGAAGCCAUGGUCUUCUGAAGAGCAAGUCCAGGGCAGUUGUGGUGGCUCACACCUAUAAUCCCAACAGUUUUGGAGGCCAAGGUGGGAGGAUCACUGGAGCCCAGGAGUUUGAGAACAGGACAAUAAAGUGAGACCCCAUCUCUACAAAAAUAAAAAAAAAUUAGCCAGGCGUGCUAGCAUGCGCCUGUGGUCCCAGCUAAAUGGAAGGCUGAGGCAGGAGGAUCACCUGAGCUCAGGAGAUCAAGGCUGCAGUGAGCCAUGUUUGUGCCACUGCACACCAGCCUAGGUGACACAGCAAGACACUGUCUCAAAAAAUAAAGAAAAUACAUGCAUAAAUAUAAAAAGGAGACCAGGUCCGCAGCUGGAGGGCUGGGUGGCAGUGGGAAAUGAAAAUCCAAGGAGCAAAACCAAAAAAGUGUGCAAAAGCCAGGCACAGCAGAGAGCAAGCCGUGGCCCCGGCGAUCGCUGAGAGGGCGGCGCUGCCCCGUCCGCCCCCAGACAUCAGCAUCCUCCCCUCCCAUAGGCCCUCAGACUCAGCAAGUUAAAAACUGAACCCGGGCUGGGCAUGGUGGCUCACACCUCUAAUCCUAGCACUUUGGGAGGCUGAGGCGGGCCAGAUCACAUGAGACCAGGAGUUCGAGACCAGCCUGGUCUAUAUCGUGAAACCCCGUCUUUACUAAAAAUACAAAAAUUACCAGGGUGUGGUGGCGCACAUCUGUAAUCCCAGCUACUCAGGAGGCUAAGGCACGAGAAUCGCUUGAACCCAGGAGGUGGAGUUUGCAGUGAGCCACUGUGCUCCAGCAUGGGUGACAGAGGGAGACUGUCUCAAAAAGGCAAAAACAAAAAAACCAAAACCGAACCCAAUCAGGCACUGUGACUCAUUCAUAUAAUCCCAACACUUUUGGAGGUUGAGGUGGGAGGAUCACUUGAGCCCAGGAGGUCGAGGCUGCAGUGCACUGUGAUCGUGCCACUGCACUCCAGACAAGAUGCUGUCUCAAAAAAAAUAAAUAAAAUAAAAUAAAUAAAAUAAAAUGUAUCAUGCACAUCCUCUGUGCUCUCAAAGAUCUUUUCGCCACCUUAUGACUACAUUCACCUCCCCUCGGCAUGACCACUUUUUUUUAUGGGUUUUUUUUUUUUUUUUUUUUUUUUUGGAGACAGUCUUGCUCUGCUGCCCAGGCUCAGCUCACUGCAACCUCCAUCUCCCGGGUUCAAGCGAUUCUCCUACCUUAGCUUCCGGAGUAAGUGGAGUGGGAUUACAGGCACCUGCCACAAUGCCUGGCUAAGUUUUUGUGUUUUUAGCAGAGAUGGGGUUUCCACCAUGUUGGCCAGGCUGGUCUCAAACUCCUGACCUCAAGUGAUCCCUCCAGCUCGGCCUCCCAAAUACUGGGAUUACAGGUGUGAGCCUCGGUGCCUGGCCACUUUUUUUUUUUUAAGAGAUAGGGUCUCACUCUGUUGUUUAGGCUGCAGUGGUGCAAUCAUGGCUCUCUGCAGCCUCAACUUCCUGGGCUCAGGUGAUCCUCCCACCUCAGCCUCCCAAGUAGCUGAGACUGCAGGUGUCUGCACCACCCUGCUCAGCUAAUUUUUUUUUUUUUUUUUUGGUAGAGAUGGGAUCUUGCUUUGUUGCCCAGGCUGGCCUUAAAUUCCUGGCCUCAGGCGAUCCUCCCACCUUGGCCUCUCAAAGUGCUGGGAUUACAGGCAUUAGCCACCGCGCCUGGCCUCAUGCUCACUUCCUAACACAUCUGCCAUGUUAACACAGUGCACGACAGAGUGCACACUCGGAGAACAGGAUAACUUCUCAUUCAUGUCUAUGUUCCCAGGCCUGACAGCCUCAUGCUCAUCACAGCUUUUUUUCUGAGAUGCAGUCUUGCUCUGUCACCCAGGCUGGAGUGCAAUGGCACGAUCUCAGCUCACUACAACUUCUGCCUCCCAGGUUCAAGCGAUUCUCCUGCCUCAGCCUCCCGAGUAGUUGGGAUUACAGGUGCCCGCCACCACGCCCAGCUAAUUUUUGUAUUUUUAGUAGAGAUGAGGGUAUCAUCAUGUUGGCCAGGCUGUUCUCAAACUGGUGACUUCAGGUGAUCUGCCCGCCUCGGCCUCCCAAAGUGCUGGGAUUACAGGUGUGAGCCACCAUGCCCAGCCAUACUAAUCACACCUUAGUAAGUAUUAGCUGGAUAUCUGAGUGGAUCAACGAACCAUGAGGUUCAGUCUCACAAGCCCCCAGAGAAAGGAGAGCUGCAGGCCACGCUGCCAUUUGGGAGGCGGCCCCUGCCGGCUCCUGCACUCGGCACUUAAGCUGGCAGCUCAGUGGGCAGAGGCUGCAGGUGAGGUCAGCUCCAACCGGGGCUUCCUUCACAUUUAACAUCUCAUUAAGUUCCUGGAGGCAUCUGGAGGGCAUUCAUUAAAGUUUCUCCAACCCUGAGCAACACAAGUGUUUACUGUGUGUUCUUAUUUAUUUUCUUUUUUUUUUUUUUUUUGAGACAGAGUCUCACUCUGUCGCCCACGCUGGAGUACAGUGGCACGGUCUUGGCUCACUGCAACCUCCACCUACUGGGUUCAAGCAAUUCUCUGCCUCAGCCUCCCAAGCAGCCGGGAUUACAGGCACCUGCCACCAUGCUUGGCUAAUUUUUUUUUGUAAUUUUAGUAGAGAUGGGGUUUCACCAUCUUGGCCAGGCUAGUCUCGAACUCCUGACCUCAUGAUCCACCUGCCUGGGCCUCCCAAAGUGCUGGGAUUACAGGCGUGAGCCACCGCACCAGGCCUAUCUGUCUUCAUUUAUUUUUAUACAACAAAACCAAGGCCGGGCACGGUGGCUCAUACCUGUAAUCCCAGCACUUUGGGAGGCCGAGGCGGGUGGAUCACUUGAGGUCAGGAGUUCGAGACCAGCCUGGCCAACAUGGUGAAACCCCAUCUCUACUAAAAAUAUGAAAAUUAGUUAGGCAUGGUGGCACACUUCUGUAAUUCCAGCUACUCAGGAGGCUGAAGCAGGAGAAUUGCUUGAACCCAGGAGGUGGAGGCUGCAGUGAGCCAAGAUCGCACCACUGCACUCCAGCAUGGGUGACAGAACGAGACUCUGUCUCAGAAAAAAAAAAAAAAAGUGAAGACAAAAACAAAGAGAACAUUGCAAAUAAAAA